Molecule: ribosomal RNA, 252 nt
Filed under: uncultured bacterium
Lineage: Bacteria
Description: partial 16S ribosomal RNA
Rfam family: Bacterial small subunit ribosomal RNA
Source: RNAcentral
UACGUAGGGGGCAAGCGUUAUCCGGAUUUACUGGGUGUAAAGGGAGCGUAGACGGCGAUGCAAGUCUGAAGUGAAAGCCCGGGGCUCAACCCCGGGACUGCUUUGGAAACUGUAUGGCUGGAGUGCUGAGAGGCAAGCGGAAUUCCUAGUGUAGCGGUGAAAUGCGUAGAUAUUAGGAAGAACACCAGUGGCGAAGGCGGCUUGCUGGACAGUAACUGACGUUGAGGCUCGAAAGCGUGGGGAGCAAACAGG